GGAUCCUGCCAGUAGUCAUAUGCUUCGUUCAAGGACUAAGCCAUGCAUGUCUCAGCGUACACGGCUUCGAACAGUGGGUCUGUGAAUGGCUCCUUACAUCAGCAGUCAUCUCCAUGAUAGAGUGUGGAUGGCACCACAUCUCCUCUGGCCAGGUGCCCGUCCGGACAUCCUCCAAAACCUAGUGGCUAAUACGCGUUUGCCCCUGUCCGCCACAGCAGUGACGGCCCCAGUGAUCAUCUGGUGCUAUGAUGAUAUGGUCCUUGCCAAGCCCACAGGCUGUUUCCAACCAGCCUCUUGCCUGACCAGCGGUGGAUGGCGCCCAGCCGCCAAGGAAGACCAGCGCCCUUCAAGGGCAGUGUUCUAUGGUUGAUUCAGGCUGGUCCGACACAUUGCCCCCAGUUGUUCCCAACGCCCAGCCGGGAGCCGUGGCCUCGCCACGUCCUGGCCUGGGUGGGUGGACACAAGCUUUCGCAGAGUGGUUGGCUGCCCCCGGCGGUCACAGCACUGCUUGAUCACACGAACUUCUGACCUAUCAGCCUCGAUGGUGGUGUAGUGGACCACCAUGGCAGUGACGGGUGACGGAGAAUCAGGGUUCGAUUCCGGAGAGGGAGCCUGAGAGACGGCUACCACUUCCAAGGAGGGCAGCAGGCACGCAAAUUGCCCAAUGCUGAGACGUUCUCUGGCGAGGCAGCGACGAACUGCAGCAAUCCCGUCCGUCCUCACCGACCAGCGGGACUUGGAAUGGAUGCAAUCCAAACACAGUGAUGAGUAUCAACUGGAGGGCAAGUCUGGUGCCAGCAGCUGCGGUAAUUCCAGCUCCAAGCGCGUAUACUAACAUUGCUGCUGUUAAAACACUUGUAGUCCGAUGCUGGGUCGCAGGUCUGCCUGGUGGCGGUGGGGACCACAUGGCCAUGUCUCCCUGCAUCGUCGUCCCCAUGCUCACCACCACGGGUCGCCCACGGCUCGCCAUGGCCCCAGUCAAGGGACCACGGUGGGUCCACGACUUCCCUUGGCGUGUGGUGUGGUGUGAUGGUGUGUGCUGUGGGCGUGGUCGGUCUCUGCCGGAUCACAACCCCAGGCAGUAUGUUCCUGCACCCGAUUGCCAUGACGGAGAAGAGUUGCCCCUGCUCAGAAGUCCCCUUCACUGGAGAUCGAUGCGGUUGUACACCCAACGCUUGUGUGUCUGACGCCAUUGAACCAGGGGCUUGGCCCCAAACCACCCUUCAUCGGAUGCUGUGCCAUGCACUUCCACCCUGGAGUCCCCCACCGGGGCCCUCCGUUGCCUGUCACCGUGGAGAACGCAGUGCGCCCAAAGCAGCCACAUGUCUUGGCUGAAUGUCCGUCCAUGGAAUGUCAGUGCAUCGACCAGAGAUGUUUGGCUCGGGGAGUUGUGCUGGGUUCUUGGUGCCCUUUCUGGGGAACGUGGCACCGUCCACGGUGAUGCAGACACCCAGCAUCAUCCCUGGCGUCGCCGUGGUGUCUGGGCGCUCCUGGACCACACCACCAUGAUGUGGGCUGGGGGAGUGCCGGCCAUGACAGGCGUCCAUGGGGUGUUGUGCCUUGGGUGGCUCCCCCCCUGUGUCGUCGCUGGACGGUGUCAAUCGCACACGAUGGGACUGCCUCGGGGUGAAAGAUACUGCAACGCCAGAGGUGAAAUUCUCAGACCGCUGCAAGAUCCACUGCAGCGAAGGCGUUCUGCAAGUGCAUGUUCGUCGAUCAAGAAUGUGAGUGUGGGGAGCGAAGAUGAUCAGACACCGUCGUAGUCCACAACUGUGAACCAUGCCGGCCCGGUGUUGGCAGUGCAAGUACACGGACACUGCCAGCGCCUGCCUCCCCCUGCACGAGAAAUCCAAGCCUGUGGGUUCAGGGGGGAGUACUGUCGCAAGGCUGAAACUUAAAGGAAUUGACGGAAUGGCACCACAAGGCGUGGAGUAUGCGGCUUAAUUUGACUCAACACGGGGAAUGUUACCAGGUCAGGACGCUGCUGGGAUGGACAGAUUGAGAGCUCUUUCUUGAUCCUUCGGAUGGUGGUGCAUGGCCGCUCCUGAUUGGUGGAGUGAUUUGUCUGGUUGAUUCCGAUAACGAGUGAGACAUCUGCCUCCCACUAGACCCGGUCUCGCAUCCCACCUCUGGUGUGGGACAAGGGACUGUCGUGGCGUUCACUGCUGCCGUUCCCCGGGCCUGGGUGUCCCAUCGGGUGUCCCACAACAGGGCCAUGUCCGUCCCCGUGGCUGAUGUGGUUCCUGUGGGCGUCCAUGGGUGUCUCCUCUCGCUCUGGGGCCGGUGGCACGCCGUCGAUGGACCCCAGAGGCAUCGGGAUCUCGCUUCUCUGAGGUGCUGUGCAGGCUUGCCAACUGCAUGCAUGCUAGAGCCAACAGCAGGUCUGUGAUGCUCCCAGAUGUCCUGGGCCGCACGCGCACUACAUUGGUCCGGUGAAUGUGUCCCUGCACUUGCCCUGUCAAGCCCUGCCUGGAAGUGGGUGGGAAACCCUGGAAGCCCGCCGAUGGCUCUGCCUCUUCUGCGACCGUACUGGGGAUAGAUGAUUGCAACUGUCUGCCUUGAACGAGGAAUGCCUAGUAGGCGUGGGUCAUCAGCCCACACCGAUUGUGUCCCUGCCAUUUGUACACACCGCCCGUCGUUGCUACCGAUGGCAGCAGGAUAGAGCCCCCUGGAGGCCCCACCCGGACGUCCUCUCCCUGUGAGGCGCCCGGGCCGAACUCGGGCAAUGUCCUGCGGCUAGAGGAAGCAAAAGUCGUAACAAGGUUGUUGUAGGGG
This 2775-nucleotide ribosomal RNA is filed under the name Lepocinclis fusca. RNAcentral's name for it is "SSU rRNA". It matches the Rfam family "Eukaryotic small subunit ribosomal RNA". Lineage: Eukaryota; Euglenozoa; Euglenophyceae; Euglenales; Phacaceae. The record is from RNAcentral.